AAGCUCGUAGUUGAAUUUCGAGACCGGUUUACUGGUCGUGCUUUUGUACGUACUGGUAUAAUCGGUUUCUCCUUUCUGACGAACUAUAAUGCCAUUAAUUUGGUGUUAUAGGGAAUCAGGACUGUUACUUUGAAAAAAUUAGAGUGUUUAAAGCAGGCUCACGCUUGAAUACAUUAGCAUGGAAUAACGGAAUAGGACGUUUGAUUCUAUUUUGUUGGUUUCUAGGAUCGACUGUAAUGAUUAAUAGGGAUAGUUGGG
Molecule: ribosomal RNA, 258 nt
Filed under: Glomus sp. MSLA-7
Lineage: Eukaryota; Fungi; Glomeromycota; Glomeromycetes; Glomerales; Glomeraceae
Description: partial 18S ribosomal RNA
Rfam family: Eukaryotic small subunit ribosomal RNA
Source: RNAcentral